UAGUCAUAUGCUUGUCUCAAAGAUUAAGCCAUGCAUGUCUAAGUAUAAGCAAUCUAUACGGUGAAACUGCGAAUGGCUCAUUAAAUCAGUUAUCGUUUAUUUGAUAGUACCUUACUACUUGGAUAACCGUGGUAAUUCUAGAGCUAAUACAUGCUAAAAACCCCGACUUCGGAAGGGGUGUAUUUAUUAGAUAAAAAACCAAUGCCCUUCGGGGCUCCUUGGUGAUUCAUAAUAACUUAACGAAUCGCAUGGCCUUGUGCCGGCGAUGGUUCAUUCAAAUUUCUGCCCUAUCAACUUUCGAUUGUAAGGUAGUGGCUUACAAUGGUUUCAACGGGUAACGGGGAAUUAGGGUUCUAUUCCGGAGAGGGAGCCUGAGAAACGGCUACCACAUCCAAGGAAGGCAGCAGGCGCGCAAAUUACCCAAUCCCGACACGGGGAGGUAGUGACAAUAAAUACUGAUACAGGGCUCUUUUGGGUCUUGUAAUUGGAAUGAGUACAAUUUAAAUCCCUUAACGAGGAACAAUG
RNAcentral lists this ribosomal RNA (525 nucleotides) under uncultured eukaryote. RNAcentral describes it as "SSU rRNA". It matches the Rfam family "Eukaryotic small subunit ribosomal RNA", at positions 21 to 549 of the family's 1831-position model. The record is from RNAcentral.